GUUCUGUCUAUAAUGUUGUCAUUUUAGUGUUAUAUUUAACAUUGCCAUUAAAGCGCGAGGUUUGGCUAACCCAAAAACAAGGCUCAACCCACCAAUAUUUCUUAAAAUGUCCUGUACUAAGUCAGGAAAAUGCGAGUAAUUGUUGUUAUCUUAUACUAGUAGUUCAUUUCUCUGUGUGUUGCAUUGUAUUUUGUGUUUUGUUGCACUUCAGUGUUCCUGUUGUUUCGUUGUUUUCCUCUUAUAGUUGAUUUGUUUCCCUUGGUUUUAGUUUGUUACCCAGAUUUGUUUUCUCUCAAUCGAUUCAAGUUAUGAAUUUCGACCAGCGGUAAACUACUGUUGUCUUUAUAUAUGGCUUUUUCAAUAUCCCAUACAUGCAGUGUGUGAUAUUGAAAAAAAGCCAUAUCAAAUAAACUUUAUUAUGUACCCCAAGUAGUAUUUUAUGUGACAUGAUGUUAUACAGAUUCGGGGUUUGAUCAUGGAUGAAAGCAUUUGCAACAGUGAUGAUAUCGAUAACCUCACGGACGGCUGAUACAGCACGAUUGCCGUUACUGUAUUUACAACUAAUUUUAUGAUAAUGCUGAUUAUCGCUAUUUUAGGAAAUUUUCCAUUGAUCUUGCUGACUGAUAAUUUCCUUUCUCAGGCGGAGUCGAGUGAUAUAAAAAAUCAUUGUUAGAAACUAUGGGGGCACUUGGCAGUGUCAUUGAAAUUGACAUGAAAUUGACAACGUCGUCAUAGCUAAAAUAGCGACAAACAUAUUAUAGUUGGUCAUCUCAAGUCGAUUGCAUUUCAUUGCCGUACCGACUCAAGCGAGAAAAUCAAUCUCGUUGAGAUGAUCCGACUUCAAUAUUAUAUUAAUUGAGUACAAUAGAACCAUCUCUACGUGCUUUUUGUAAACUACCAAGGAAAAGAUGAACAAUUUUAGA
This 923-nucleotide long non-coding RNA is filed under the name Mytilus galloprovincialis (Mediterranean mussel). The record is from RNAcentral. Lineage: Eukaryota; Metazoa; Mollusca; Bivalvia; Mytilida; Mytilidae.